CUGAGAGCCCUCCGUGGGAAAUAGAAGGCAUGUUCGAAGGAGACAUCGACAUCAUGAACGAAACGAGCCGGAAUGCGAUACGCAAUGACGACAUGAAGUGGGCAGGCGCCGUGGUGCCCUACGUUAUUGCCGGGUCCUAUGACGCGCGGGCGCGGCAAGUCAUGCAGUCUGCGUUUGACGAGUACAGACAGAAGACGUGCGUUAGGUUUGUGCCUCGCACCAACCAGAGAGCCUUCAUCAACAUAGAACCAUUCAGAGGGUGUUCGUCGGCGGUCGGCAAGCAGGGUAGAGUGCAGCGCGUGUCGCUGACGAGAGGCUGCGUGAGUAAGGGCAUCGUCGCACACGAGCUGAUGCAUGCGAUCGGGUUCUGGCACGAGCAGAGCCGCGCCGAUAGAGACAGCUUCGUGCGCAUCAACUUCGAGAACAUCCUCCCAAACCAGCGCUACAACUUCCAGAAAUACACGCUGCAGGCCAUCCAGCACCUGGGAGAACCCUACGAUUACUCGUCCGUCAUGCACUACGGCCCGCGCGCCUUCUCUACGGGCGCCGGUCCGUCCAUCACGCCGCUACGGUCCGGAGUGACCAUCGGUCAGCGCAACGGACUCAGCCGUAUCGACGUCAACAAGAUUAACAAGCUGUACAACUGCAACACGGGCGGCUCGACGCCAGCUCCGACGACAGCGCCCACUGCCGACUGCCAGAACGAGAACACGCAGUGCGAGAGCUGGGCCGGCAGAGGACAGUGUCAGGCAAACCCACGUUACAUGCUAGCCAACUGCCGACCCGCCUGCGGCGUCUGCGGCGACAGUACCUGUAAUGACGGAAACAGACUGUGCCCCUACUGGGCGUCGAUCGGAGAGUGCCAGAAAAACCCGGGAUACAUGCUGCCAACUGCCCAGUUCUCUGCGAAACCUGUCAGACUCGUGGAGGCGGGGACACAUGUGUGAAUGACAAUGUGUAUUGCGAGAGCUGGGCAGGACGAGGGGAGUGUCAGAAGAACCCUAGAUACAUGCGCGUCAACUGUAAGAAGGCGUGCGAACGCGAAUAGGUACACCGUCUGCGAUAAUAACGAAGUGGCGGACAGCUGCACCGAUGACAACCGCUACUGCAUGUACUGGGCAUCUAAGGGAAUGCGAGGCCAAAUCCAGACUACAUGCUGACAUCAUGCAAAAUCUCCUGCAAAACUGUGCAAAAUCUACUGCAAAUCUGCAAAAUAUUAGUUUAACUAACUAAAGAGACAAUCGUGUUAGUUCUCGGUAGUUACGCAGUAGUUGUGUUACGGAUUAAAAUUUUAUUAAAAUUCACAUCAAUGUUAUAUGUAUAA
RNA transcript from Priapulus caudatus, 1324 nucleotides. It is a transcript of the gene named high choriolytic enzyme 1-like, with no coding region annotated. The record is from RefSeq and is a predicted model, not a curated record. NCBI's taxonomy places the organism in Eukaryota, Metazoa, Priapulida, Priapulimorpha, Priapulimorphida, Priapulidae. The transcript has 10 exons.